AUGCUCACUUCAGCAGCACAUAUACUAAAUUUGGAAUGAUUCAGAGAAAAUAAACAUGGCCCCUACAUAAGGAUGACACACAAAUUUGUGAAGGAUUCCAUAUAUUU
Small nuclear RNA from Phyllostomus discolor (pale spear-nosed bat), 107 nucleotides. The record is from RefSeq and is a predicted model, not a curated record. NCBI's taxonomy places the organism in Eukaryota, Metazoa, Chordata, Mammalia, Chiroptera, Phyllostomidae.